This 468-nucleotide ribosomal RNA is filed under the name uncultured bacterium. RNAcentral describes it as "partial 16S ribosomal RNA". It matches the Rfam family "Bacterial small subunit ribosomal RNA", at positions 28 to 507 of the family's 1533-position model. The record is from RNAcentral.
GACGAACGCUGGCGGCGUGCUUAACACAUGCAAGUCGAACGGACAGGCCCUGCUUUUGUGGGGUGCUCGAGUGGCGAACGGGUGAGUAACACGUGAGUAACCUGCCCUUGACUUUGGGAUAACUUCAGGAAACUGGGGCUAAUACCGGAUAGGAGCUCCUGCUGCAUGGUGGGGGUUGGAAAGUUUCGGCGGUUGGGGAUGGACUCGCGGCUUAUCAGCUUGUUGGUGGGGUAGUGGCUUACCAAGGCUUUGACGGGUAGCCGGCCUGAGAGGGUGACCGGCCACAUUGGGACUGAGAUACGGCCCAGACGCCUACGGGAGGCAGCAGUGGGGAAUAUUGCAGAAUGGGCGGAAGCCUGAUGCAGCAACGCCGCGUGCGGGAUGACGGCCUUCGGGGUGUAAACCGCUUUCGCCUGUGACGAAGCGUUAGUGACGGUAAUGGGUAAAGAAGCACCGGCUAACUACGUG